This is a long non-coding RNA of Canis lupus familiaris (dog), 655 nucleotides long. RefSeq lists it as uncharacterized. Lineage: Eukaryota; Metazoa; Chordata; Mammalia; Carnivora; Canidae. The transcript has 3 exons. The record is from RefSeq and is a predicted model, not a curated record.
AGGUGUCUGACGAUUUGUGAGCACCGAGAGACUAUUCUGUGGAAUCAUCUUUCCUUGCUUUUGAAUUAGCUUUCCUUAGGCCAUGAGUCAACCUCAAUAUUUUGUACAUCCAAAUUGUUUUAAUGACAUUUUAACAUCAAGGACUUCAGUAGACUUAAUGGCUGAUUGAUGAAAUAAUCCAAACGUGAAGAGCAUCUUGAAUUGCAGCAGCCUCAGAUAUCCUGAGUACCAGCAGCCAUGGGCUUAGAGUGUCCCGUGAAUGCACUGUGGAGGGUGUUGGGGUCAGAGAAGGGGGGGGGGUUGUAUGAACUAAGCCAGUUGACAGAUGAAGAACCCAGUUGUUGCUGAUUACUAUCCACUCAACUGAACUCCUUUUGACCUCUGAUCUCAUGUACAUAGCACCUAUUGUUCUCUUAUUAAUGAUCAAUGUGUUUGUUGAAUAAAUGCAUGAGUCUUUCCUACUCUAUUCUGUGUAAUAAGAACUAAAUUAGCACCGAGUUAUAAAGAAAACUUAAGAAGUCUACAAAUAUUUUCAAUCCAAAAUCCUUUUAACUAUCUUCUCAUGGUUCCCAGUCACCCCCCAGACCCGACACAUAUAGAUCAUCUCUUGCCUGCAUUACUGCAAUAGCCUUGUAAUUGGUCUGCUUCCCCCUUG